CUUAAUAUAUUAUAUUUAAUAUUUUUUAUUUGCUAUAAAAAAAAAAUUAGGU
Molecule: transfer RNA, 52 nt
Filed under: Meloidogyne exigua
Lineage: Eukaryota; Metazoa; Nematoda; Chromadorea; Rhabditida; Meloidogynidae
Description: tRNA-Ala
Source: RNAcentral